Molecule: long non-coding RNA, 594 nt
Filed under: Rattus norvegicus (Norway rat)
Lineage: Eukaryota; Metazoa; Chordata; Mammalia; Rodentia; Muridae
Description: long non-coding RNA NONRATT032293
Source: RNAcentral
CUAGGAUAAAGCCUCACAUUCGGUCUGGAGUUUGUGGACAAAGCUAAAGAGAAAACAAACACUCCGGGAAGCAUCUGUGUCUAUGCAGACUCAAGACAGAAUCCCAGUCUCCUGUCCUUGGUGAACAGCCCCUUUAUCGUAGCAGGGCCUGUUCUGGAGAUGAGAGAACAAAUAGAAAUCAUAUAGAACUUGAAGUGGAGGAGGAGAAGACAAGGCUACUGGAGCGUGGACACCAGAGUUGGGUAAACUCUCCCAGAUAACAGGCCAUGAAAGAAAGGAGAACUCCAGGAAGCACUUUCAUUGUCAACCGGAGCUCUUCUUUCUUUUUCCUCUUCUUUUUCAUUUCUACACCUGUCUGAUACACUCAAGAGCCAAACUCAGAGUUCCGAUGGCACCAGUGAGUUUCCCUGUCUGAAGAGAUAGAGAAAAUGUUCCCAUGUCUUGCCUGUCAUCGACCCAGGUUCUCACACCGACUUUAAAUCUUUCCCUCAGUCUACACUGAAUAACCAUAUGACGCAAACGAGUGAGGAACUGAGCCAUCAGGUAAACAAGGGAUUGGGUUAUUAUUCCAAUAGCAGCCUUGGAAAGUCAAUC